Molecule: transfer RNA, 75 nt
Filed under: Actinomadura sp. DC4
Lineage: Bacteria; Bacillati; Actinomycetota; Actinomycetes; Streptosporangiales; Thermomonosporaceae
Description: tRNA-Arg
Rfam family: tRNA
About the family: Transfer RNA (tRNA) molecules are approximately 80 nucleotides in length. Their secondary structure includes four short double-helical elements and three loops (D, anti-codon, and T loops).
Source: RNAcentral
GCCUCCAUGGCUCAAUCGGAGAGAGCACCCGGCUUCGAACCGGGACGAGUGCGGGUUCGAAUCCUGCUGGAGGUG